GAUGAACGCUGGCGGCGUGCCUAACACAUGCAAGUCGAGCGUGAACCCUUAGAAUGAAACUUCGGUCGAAUGAAGAGGGGGAAAGCGGCGGACGGGUGAGUAACGCGUAGGCAACCUGCCCCGUACAGAGGGAUAGCCUCGGGAAACCGGGAUUAAAACCUCAUAACACCAUGGUAUCACAUGAUGCAAUGGUCAAAGAUUUAUCGGUAUGGGAUGGGCCUGCGUCUGAUUAGCUGGUUGGUGGGGUAACGGCCUACCAAGGCAACGAUCAGUAGCCGACCUGAGAGGGUAAUCGGCCACAUUGGAACUGAGACACGGUCCAAACUCCUACGGGAGGCAGCAGUGGGGAAUAUUGCACAAUGGGCGAAAGCCUGAUGCAGCAACGCCGCGUGAGCGAAGAAGGCCUUUGGGUCGUAAAGCUCUGUCGGGAAGGAAGAUAAUGACGGUACUUCCCGAGGAAGCCCCGGCUAACUACGUG
RNAcentral lists this ribosomal RNA (478 nucleotides) under uncultured bacterium. RNAcentral describes it as "bacterial SSU rRNA". It matches the Rfam family "Bacterial small subunit ribosomal RNA", at positions 28 to 507 of the family's 1533-position model. The record is from RNAcentral.